AUUGAACGCUGGCGGCAGGCCUAACACGUGCAAGUCGAGCGGAUGAAGGGAGCUUGCUCCUGGAUUCAGCGGCGGACGGGUGAGUAAUGCCUAGGAAUCUGCCUGGUAGUGGGGGAUAACGUCCGGAAACGGGCGCUAAUACCGCAUACGUCCUGAGGGAGAAAGUGGGGGAUCUUCGGACCUCACGCUAUCAGAUGAGCCUAGGUCGGAUUAGCUAGUUGGUGGGGUAAAGGCCUACCAAGGCGACGAUCCGUAACUGGUCUGAGAGGAUGAUCAGUCACACUGGAACUGAGAAACGGUCCAGACUCCUACGGGAGGCAGCAGUGGGGAAUAUGGGACAAUGGGCGUAAGCCUGAUCCAGCCAUGCCGCGUGUGUGAAGAAGGUCUUCGGAUGGUAAAGCACUUUAAGUUGGGAGGAAGGGCAGUAAGUUAAUACCUUGCUGUUUGGACGUGACCAACAGAAUAAGCACCGGCUAACUUCGU
RNAcentral lists this ribosomal RNA (483 nucleotides) under uncultured bacterium. RNAcentral describes it as "partial 16S ribosomal RNA". It matches the Rfam family "Bacterial small subunit ribosomal RNA", at positions 30 to 506 of the family's 1533-position model. The record is from RNAcentral.